CCAACACUUCCAAUCGGAUCGU
This 22-nucleotide microRNA is filed under the name Ptychodera flava. RNAcentral's name for it is "Pfl-Mir-4826_3p* (star (passenger))". Lineage: Eukaryota; Metazoa; Hemichordata; Enteropneusta; Ptychoderidae. The record is from RNAcentral.